ACUGGGUCAAGUUCUGCUCUGAAUACAAUGAAAAAAGUGGCAGCUCCGAGAUUAAAACUGUAGAUAUGAUGAUGACGUGGAUGUCAAAAUCCCUUGGAUGGAAGUUUUACAGAAAGAAUUUAGAAGAUGAAAGCAGAGAAAUUCACUUUGAGAAAGCACAUGGUAAUCUGACAGCUAGCAUAUGGCACAAUGAAUGAACUGAGGAAGAGCCGUGAUAUUCCUACCUGUGUGAUGGGUCAUGUCCAACCACUGAUACAAGGUGCCACUACAGCAGGUACCACUCAACAGUAUCAAAUUUCAGACUUAUUGGAAUAUACAUAAAAAAAAGGUCACUUCCAAGAAAGCCGAGAAACAAGAUGGGAGAUACAAAUUACAAUUCCUCCCCCAGAUCUGAUCUUCAUUGGUUGUUUGAAAAUUUGAGUUGGUGUAAGUUAUUUUUACUGAGAUAUAUGGUAUACUUAACUGAUAAAUAAAGGUACUAUAUAAUCUUUUAAUCUGUUUUGUUUGUUUUUUU
Saccostrea echinata is the source of this 514-nucleotide long non-coding RNA. RefSeq lists it as uncharacterized. The transcript has 3 exons. The record is from RefSeq and is a predicted model, not a curated record. NCBI's taxonomy places the organism in Eukaryota, Metazoa, Mollusca, Bivalvia, Ostreida, Ostreidae.